ACGUGUAGGCGUACGUGUUGUGCAGGGCCGUGCCGUUAUGAAUUCAAACCUUCAAGCUUUAGAUGCACCCAAGAAGAACCAUCUUGAUCGUUACUGGUGCGGAAGUGAUGACCUUGGAGCGUUUUAAGUCGAAAUUGGUAUUUAGGUCAAUAGGUCUCAUAGCACAGGCUCAUGGUGACAUCUGGUGGUCAAUAGAGGAAGCGUUUGAUGUGUGUUUACUCGAGGGAAAGUUGCAAAGAACCGUUACACGAUCUUCAAUUCAAACGUCUCCUCUGCCAAAUACGUGGACAGACCUGCCCAUGAUGGGUGAAGGGGUGUAACGGAUCUUCACGAACUUUCGCGAAAUCUGGACUGGUUGGCCAUCCGGUGAAACGCAGGUUGAUAUAACUUAACCUUUUAUUACAAUGUGACUAUAUCAAACAAAGCUAUGACAUCCCAUCGAAGUCCGGUCCCAAGCUGCUCGGCAUUGCUUACUAGCUGCUUCAACAGACCGUCCUGAAACCCAUCCAAAUGGAACAUAUAUUACACAUAGGUGCGUGCGAAGAGGACCAUUGACGAUUAAUUGAUAAGAUUUGCAAGACUUGCUGUGCUAAAUUCAUGUUAAUAAUUUUACUCGUGCAACGUACACUUCCGAUUUAAACAUUCGAGAAAGGCAUCAUUUUUAAUUAUGUUAAUUUUUGGAGGAUAUCUUUUAAUUUAAUAUCUGCAGUAUAAUUUUAUUUUUUUUUUUAAAUUGAAAGUUCCCAUUUUUUUGCAAAUUAAUGAGAUACGUUUUUUGUAAAAAAUAUUAUGCUAAAAGUGAAAAAAAAUGAUGUACAUAUGAAGAUGAAGCUUAAUUGCAACGUUAACCUUUUAUGAUAUGGAUGGAAUUAUAAUUAGAAACCAAUAUGGAGAAGUAUAAAAGUUUCAGUCUUUUUUUGCAGGUUCGUUUGGCACGUUUUUAUGCAAGAGAUUAAAUUAGAAAUACGGAAAAAAAAAAAAAAA
This is a long non-coding RNA of Bombus terrestris (buff-tailed bumblebee), 984 nucleotides long. RefSeq lists it as uncharacterized. NCBI's taxonomy places the organism in Eukaryota, Metazoa, Arthropoda, Insecta, Hymenoptera, Apidae. The record is from RefSeq and is a predicted model, not a curated record. The transcript is spliced from 5 exons.